Molecule: long non-coding RNA, 621 nt
Filed under: Heterocephalus glaber (naked mole-rat)
Lineage: Eukaryota; Metazoa; Chordata; Mammalia; Rodentia; Bathyergidae
Description: lncRNA (ENSHGLG00000039560.1)
Source: RNAcentral
CUCAAAUUUGUGAUCCUGCUCCCUCAGCUUCCCAAGUGCUAAUAUUACAGAUAUAUACCAAGGCUAUAGUUUAGAACCCCUGAGACCUGAAUUUGAACCCUUGGAUCUUUCACACCAGUUAUGUGACCUGGACCUCAAACUUGUACUGAACAUUUCUGAGCUUCAGUUGCUGGAUCUGAAACAUAAGAAGGUGGUACCUCAUAAAGCUGUGUGAGGACUGAUUAGAACUUUCAUGCAACAAAUAUUUAUUGAAUGCAUUUUCUGUGUAAAAGUUUUAGGAAUACAAAGAAGAAGAGAAAGACCUAUCCCCUCCUCAGAGGUCACAUCUCUGUGCUAGAUGUCUAACAGAGUAGCUAUGCAAUAAAUGUAGCUUCUCCUUUGCCAAGGAAGUGGGAGAGCCUCCUGGGGAAAGGAAUUGACCCAAAACUACAGGAUCAAACUUGGGACCUUGUGCUUGCGAGGCAGGUGACGGCACUGGGUUGAUACUUUGAAGUUGCUUAUUUGAGAAUGACUGUCUGGAAUGGUGUCUGGGAACUUCUGAAAGCUCCCCAAGAGAGACCAACUCUCAGCCGAGGCUCAGGACCACGGCUCUGGGGAUAGUGUGUGCAUCCCACAGUAUGG